Molecule: long non-coding RNA, 213 nt
Filed under: Nicotiana benthamiana
Lineage: Eukaryota; Viridiplantae; Streptophyta; Magnoliopsida; Solanales; Solanaceae
Description: long non-coding RNA (NBEN_LNC001051)
Source: RNAcentral
UAUAGUUGUUGCAGCACUGGAUGUCACCUUUGUUCUUGUACAAAGGCACAACUGUACUCCACCUCCACUCCUCCGGCAUCUUUUUGUUCCUGAAGAUCGCAUUGAACAACCGGGAGAGCCACUCCACUCCUGACCUUCCCAUGCAUUUCCAGAACUCUACCAGGAUCUCGUCAGGCCCGAUCGCUCGACCCCUACUCAUCCUACGCAAAGCCC